GGCCUCCAAUGCUUCUGUAUGUCUCACUCAGAGGGCUGCAACAUUUUAAAGGAAGUAAGGCCUCAUGCAUGCACGCUGCUGCAGAAAACAAAGGCUGGAGCUCUCAUUAUCUCUCUUUGACAAACAAAACGAAAUACACACCUUCUUCCACGUGAUGCGAAAGAUUCUGAAGCUCUCAGGUGAAAAUAUGGCGAUACCAUGGGAACAGGCGGUGUGGCUCAGAGAUCAUGCAAAGGCAUUGCCUCUCCCAUUUCAAAAUAAAUCCUCUGUGGAAUUUCAGAGAGCUCAUAGAAAACAGUCCAGAAGUUCUUGAUGAGCUCAUCAGAGGCAGAGCACUUUUCAUAGGAAGCACACUGAAGAUGAAGCAGAAAAACUCAGGGGAGCCUUGGAAAAGCUGCUGGAGUUCCUCAGGGUGGAACAUGCUCCAGGCAUCAAGUGGACAGCCCUUAUAGAAACCUCUUGAAAAAUGUUUGAACUGUUUCUUUACGGACUUGUUGAAAACGAAGUUCACAUACAAAUCCACAUACUUCUGUCUGGGAAAAAAAAUAAAAAAGUUCUUUCUUUGCAAUGCACAGAAGGAACAUUUACAGCAGGGGUCACCAGAGUUGGUCCUG
This is a long non-coding RNA of Carassius auratus (goldfish), 614 nucleotides long. RefSeq lists it as uncharacterized. The transcript is spliced from 5 exons. The record is from RefSeq and is a predicted model, not a curated record. Lineage: Eukaryota; Metazoa; Chordata; Actinopteri; Cypriniformes; Cyprinidae.